GAUACCGAUAUUUUUUCAUCAGCCUUAGCCGAUACGCGAUACCGAUUUUCUUGAGCCGAUAUUUAGAGCCGAUACUGCUUUUGCUCCCUCAAUCAUAAAAAUUACACUGAUAACAAAUGUUACAAGUCUCAAUUUAAAAAAAGGAACAUUUAUUGAACUUCAAUAUAAAAAACUAUAUUUAACAAAUAGUAAAAACAGGUGAGGUAGAACAAGUAAAAAAAAAAAGAAAAAAAAA
Long non-coding RNA from Gadus macrocephalus (Pacific cod), 235 nucleotides. RefSeq lists it as uncharacterized. The record is from RefSeq and is a predicted model, not a curated record. The transcript is spliced from 2 exons. NCBI's taxonomy places the organism in Eukaryota, Metazoa, Chordata, Actinopteri, Gadiformes, Gadidae.